Molecule: transfer RNA, 58 nt
Organism: Ovis aries (sheep)
Lineage: Eukaryota; Metazoa; Chordata; Mammalia; Artiodactyla; Bovidae
Rfam family: tRNA
About the family: Transfer RNA (tRNA) molecules are approximately 80 nucleotides in length. Their secondary structure includes four short double-helical elements and three loops (D, anti-codon, and T loops).
Source: Rfam
UAGCUUAGCUGGUAAAGAAUCUGCCUGCAAUGCAGGAAGACCCAGGUUCGAUUCCUGG